UAAAGAAGCAACCUGCUCCAGAGGGGCAGCGGCAAGUCUACUGAGCCAGGGAACUUACCUCGGAGGCUUGACUUCGCAGCCUGAAGUGAAGGACAUCCCAAAUCAAAGGACACGUGCUUGGACGGGAAGUCUGUGCCAGGGGAGGCCAGCCUAGGCUCUCCUCCAAAGCUGGAAUUCCAAGACUUCACACAGACCAACAAGAGCUCUGAGGCGUUGAUCCCAAAGGCUCUCUCUAAUAAAUUUCCUGAAUGUUAAUCUUGCUCUCAGAAUCUGCUUCCCAGAGUAUCCAAGCUUUGGCACAAGCAAAUUGGAUCCUUGAGGUUUUUACUUUACAAAUCAAAUGCCUGAGGAUGUGUAAGAGGAUGGUCAUGGAUUUGCAACAACCGCUUUCUGCAUUCCUGCCCUCUGUAACCGUGUUCCUGGGGAAAGACCAGGAAUUCCAUCCAUAA
RNAcentral lists this long non-coding RNA (449 nucleotides) under Mustela putorius furo (domestic ferret). RNAcentral's name for it is "lncRNA (ENSMPUG00000026594.1)". Lineage: Eukaryota; Metazoa; Chordata; Mammalia; Carnivora; Mustelidae. The record is from RNAcentral.